RNAcentral lists this ribosomal RNA (315 nucleotides) under uncultured eukaryote. Its description in RNAcentral is "partial 18S ribosomal RNA". It matches the Rfam family "Eukaryotic small subunit ribosomal RNA", at positions 1470 to 1796 of the family's 1831-position model. The record is from RNAcentral.
CCCUUAGACGUUCUGGGCCGCACGCGCGCUACACUGACCAGUGCAACAAGCAUCCGUCCUUGGCCGACAGGCCCGGGCAAUCUUUGAACGCUGGUCGUGAUGGGGAUAGACUUUUGCAAUUUUUGGUCUUCAACGAGGAAUUCCUAGUAAACGCAAGUCAUCAACUUGCAUUGAUUACGUCCCUGCCCUUUGUACACACCGCCCGUCGCACCUACCGAUUGAAUGGUCCGGUGAAGCCUCCGGAUUGGCGCGCACCUCGGUGCCGCCGAGAAGUUGGCUAAACCUUNCNAUUUAGNGGAAGGAGAANUCGUANCA